RNAcentral lists this ribosomal RNA (374 nucleotides) under uncultured organism. Its description in RNAcentral is "partial 16S ribosomal RNA". It matches the Rfam family "Bacterial small subunit ribosomal RNA", at positions 527 to 896 of the family's 1533-position model. The record is from RNAcentral.
GUAGGUGGCAAGCGUUGUCCGGAAUUAUUGGGCGUAAAGCGCGCGCAGGCGGUUCUUUAAGUCUGAUGUGAAAGCCCACGGCUCAACCGUGGAGGGUCAUUGGAAACUGGAGAACUUGAGUACAGAAGAGGAAAGCGGAAUUCCACGUGUAGCGGUGAAAUGCGUAGAGAUGUGGAGGAACACCAGUGGCGAAGGCGGCUUUCUGGUCUGUAACUGGCGCUGAGGCGCGAAAGCGUGGGGAGCAAACAGGGAUUAGAUACCCUGGUAGUCCACGCCGUAAACGAUGAGUGCUAAGUGUUAGGGGGUUUCCGCCCCCCUUAGUGCUGCAGCUAACGCAUUAAGCACUCCGCCUGGGGAGUACGGCCGCAAGGCUG